RNAcentral lists this ribosomal RNA (305 nucleotides) under uncultured bacterium. RNAcentral describes it as "bacterial SSU rRNA". It matches the Rfam family "Bacterial small subunit ribosomal RNA", at positions 335 to 632 of the family's 1533-position model. The record is from RNAcentral.
UUCCCUACGGGACGCAGCAGUAGGGAAUCUUCCACAAUGGGCGCAAGUCUGAUGGAGCAACGCCGCGUGAGUGAAGAAGGUUUUCGGAUCGUAAAGCUCUGUUGUUGGUGAAGAAGGAUAUAGGUAGUAACUGGCCUAUAUUUGACGGUAAUCAACCAGAAAGUCACGGCUAACUACGUGCCAGCAGCCGCGGUAAUACGUAGGUGGCAAGCGUUGUCCGGAUUUAUUGGGCGUAAAGCGAGCGCAGGCGGAGAAAUAAGUCUGAUGUGAAAGCCCACGGCUCAACCGUGGAACUGCAUCGGAAA